Molecule: ribosomal RNA, 432 nt
Filed under: uncultured Alphaproteobacteria bacterium
Lineage: Bacteria; Pseudomonadati; Pseudomonadota; Alphaproteobacteria
Description: SSU rRNA
Rfam family: Bacterial small subunit ribosomal RNA
Source: RNAcentral
CAGGUAGUUGGUGGGGUAAAGGCCUACCAAGCCUACGAUCUUUAGCUGGUCUGAGAGGACGACCAGCCACACUGGAACUGAGACACGGUCCAGACUCCUACGGGAGGCAGCAGUGGGGAAUAUUGGACAAUGGGGGAAACCCUGAUCCAGCCAUGCCGCGUGAGUGAUGAAGGCCUUAGGGUUGUAAAGCUCUUUUACCAGGGAAGAUAAUGACGGUACCUGGAGAAUAAGUUCCGGCUAACUUCGUGCCAGCAGCCGCGGUAAUACGAAGGGAACUAGCGUUGUUCGGAAUCACUGGGCGUAAAGCGGGCGCACGCGGACUGUCAAGUCAGAGGUGAAAUCCCAAGGCUCAACCUUGGAAUUGCCUUUGAAACUGACAGUCUGGAGUGUGUGAGGGGGUAGCGGAAUUCCAAAUGUAAAGGUGAAAUUUUU